Long non-coding RNA from Zophobas morio, 823 nucleotides. RefSeq lists it as uncharacterized. The record is from RefSeq and is a predicted model, not a curated record. NCBI's taxonomy places the organism in Eukaryota, Metazoa, Arthropoda, Insecta, Coleoptera, Tenebrionidae. The transcript has 4 exons.
UUUGUAGCGUAUCCCGCUUCCUAAUGAUGUUUUCAAAGUCUUUUACUUUUCUCGAGUUAUUUCUAAUUAUAUUAUGUGUAGAUGCCACUAGGGACAAUCAUUAUUUUGCACCAACUAAGAGUAAUAACUAUUUAAAAAGUUGUAAGGGAAAUAGGUGUACCCAUUCCCGCAAGUUUUGUGCCGAAAUUGAUGGUUUUUAUUACUCCCUCUCUACUACCAGAAGGUCGAACUUAAUUUGCGUGUCUGUAGCCCCAAAUGAAGGUACUGAAACUUGUUAUGGAUUCUCUAGCCUUCAGCAGUGUUCAAAGUUGGCAGUUAAUAGAGAAAAUUUUGGAGGCUACAGACUAACAUCCGUUAAUGGGAUUGAAAAUGAGUCAUUGAAGGAAAAAUUGCUUGAUUAUGAUAUACCCCUAAACAGCGCUGUAUGUUGGAAAGUAAAUGCAUCACCCUAUAAAGGACGAUAUAUCCAAGCAGUAAUGGAUGCAGCUGCGCAGACUGCCUCUUGCUUGACAGAUAUAACCGAUGUGUUACAUUGCAGAUCUUUUUCAACGAGUAAAGAAUGUGAAUGUAGUUUAAACGAAAUUCUGUUUUUAAGGGAAUAUAAUAAUAUACUAUUAAAAAGCUGUUCGUCUGAACACCAAACUGCAGAAAGUUGGUGUCCAGGAGUCACUUUAUAUUUAAGUAAUUAUAUUCAGUACUCCACUAAAGAAAUUACAGCAGAUACCGAAAAUUCUAAUAUUAAGUUAUCUAAAAUAAGAUUGAAUAACUGUACAAGUGAUAAUGGGGUCUUCGGAGAACAAUAUUAAAUUGCUUAUAAAACAAA